GACAUUGGUGUAGUGGUUUGAACACUGGACUACAAUUCUGGAGAACAGGGUUCAAAUCACUGCUCAGCCA
Non-coding RNA from Phrynosoma platyrhinos (Desert horned lizard), 70 nucleotides. Lineage: Eukaryota; Metazoa; Chordata; Lepidosauria; Squamata; Phrynosomatidae. The record is from the annotation of a GenBank genome assembly.